GACGAAGGGGGCGAACGUUGUUCGGAAUCACUGGGCUUAAAGGGUGCGUAGGCGGGCGGUCAAGUCAGGGGUGAAAUCCUCCAACUUAACUGGAGAACUGCCUUUGAUACUGGUCAUCUUGAGUGAGGUAGGGGCGUGCGGAACUGAUGGUGGAGCGGUGAAAUGUGUUGAUAUCAUCAGGAACUCCGGUGGCGAAAGCGGCGCGCUGGACCUUUACUGACGCUGAGGCACGAAAGCCAGGGGAGCGAACGGG
Molecule: ribosomal RNA, 253 nt
Filed under: uncultured bacterium
Lineage: Bacteria
Description: partial 16S ribosomal RNA
Rfam family: Bacterial small subunit ribosomal RNA
Source: RNAcentral